UAGGGCAUACACCAAUGUACCAAACCCUAUCAAACUCCGAAUACCUUAUAUGUAAUCACAGCAGUCAGGCGGCGAGUGAUAAAAUCCGUCGUCAAGAGGGAAACAACCCAGACUACCAGCUAAGGUCCCUAAAUCUUACUUAAGUGGAAAACGAUGUGAAGUUACUUAAACAACCAGGAGGUUGGCUUAGAAGCAGCCAUCCUUUAAAGAAAGCGUAAUAGCUCACUGGUCUAGUGAUUUUGCGCGGAAAAUAUAACGGGGCUAAAGUAAGUACCGAAGCUGUAGACUUAGUUUACUAAGUGGUAGGAGAGCGUUCUAUUUGCGUCGAAGGUAUACCGGUAAGGAGUGCUGGAGCGAAUAGAAGUGAGCAUGCAGGCAUGAGUAGCGAUAAUUAAUGUGAGAAUCAUUAACGCCGUAAACCCAAGGUUUCCUACGCGAUGCUCGUCAUCGUAGGGUUAGUCGGGUCCUAAGUCGAGUCCGAAAGGGGUAGACGAUGGCAAAUUGGUUAAUAUUCCAAUACCAACAUUAGUGUGCGAUGGAAGGACGCUUAGGGCUAAGGGGGCUAGCGGAUGGAAGUGCUAGUCUAAGGUCGUAGGAGGUUGUACAGGCAAAUCCGUAUAACAAUACUCCGAGAACUGAAAGGCUUUUUGAAGUCUUCGGAUGGAUAGAAGAACCCCUGAUGCUGUCGAGCCAAGAAAAGUUUCUAAGUUUAGCUAAUGUUGCCCGUACCGUAAACCGACACAGGUGGGUGGGAUGAGUAUUCUAAGGCGCGUGGAAGAACUCUCUUUAAGGAACUCUGCAAAAUAGCACCGUAUCUUCGGUAUAAGGUGUGGUUAGCUUUGUAUUAGGAUUUACUCCGAAAGCAAGGAAACUUACAACAAAGAGUCCCUCCCGACUGUUUACCAAAAACACAGCACUCUGCUAACUCGUAAGAGGAUGUAUAGGGUGUGACGCCUGCCCGGUGCUCGAAGGUUAAUUGAUGGGGUUAGCAUUAGCGAAGCUCUUGAUCGAAGCCCGAGUAAACGGCGGCCGUAACUAUAACGGUCCUAAGGUAGCGAAAUUCCUUGUCGGUUAAAUACCGACCUGCAUGAAUGGCGUAACGAGAUGGGAGCUGUCUCAAAGAGGGAUCCAGUGAAAUUGUAGUGGAGGUGAAAAUUCCUCCUACCCGCGGCAAGACGGAAAGACCCCGUGGACCUUUACUACAGCUUGACACUGCUACUUGGAUAAGAAUGUGCAGGAUAGGUGGGAGGCUUUGAGUAUAUGACGCCAGUUGUAUAUGAGCCAUUGUUGAGAUACCACUCUUUCUUAUUUGGGUAGCUAACCAGCUUGAGUUAUCCUCAAGUGGGACAAUGUCUGGUGGGUAGUUUGACUGGGGCGGUCGCCUCCCAAAUAAUAACGGAGGCUUACAAAGGUUGGCUCAGAACGGUUGGAAAUCGUUCGUAGAGUAUAAAGGUAUAAGCCAGCUUAACUGCAAGACAUACAAGUCAAGCAGAGACGAAAGUCGGUCUUAGUGAUCCGGUGGUUCUGUGUGGAAGGGCCAUCGCUCAAAGGAUAAAAGGUACCCCGGGGAUAACAGGCUGAUCUCCCCCAAGAGCUCACAUCGACGGGGAGGUUUGGCACCUCGAUGUCGGCUCAUCGCAUCCUGGGGCUGGAGCAGGUCCCAAGGGUAUGGCUGUUCGCCAUUUAAAGCGGUACGCGAGCUGGGUUCAGAACGUCGUGAGACAGUUCGGUCCCUAUCUGCCGUGGGCGUAAGAAGAUUGAAGAGAUUUGACCCUAGUACGAGAGGACCGGGUUGAACAAACCACUGGUGUAGCUGUUGUUCUGCCAAGAGCAUCGCAGCGUAGCUAAGUUUGGAAAGGAUAAACGCUGAAAGCAUCUAAGCGUGAAGCCAACUCUAAGAUGAAUCUUCUCUAAGCUCUCUAGAAGACUACUAGUUUGAUAGGCUGGGUGUGUAAUGGAUGAAAGUCCUUUAGCUGACCAGUACUAAUAGAGCGUUUGGCUUAUCUUUAAUAAAGCAU
RNAcentral lists this ribosomal RNA (2018 nucleotides) under Campylobacter jejuni. Its description in RNAcentral is "partial 23S ribosomal RNA". It matches the Rfam family "Bacterial large subunit ribosomal RNA", at positions 920 to 2925 of the family's 2925-position model. Lineage: Bacteria; Pseudomonadati; Campylobacterota; Epsilonproteobacteria; Campylobacterales; Campylobacteraceae. The record is from RNAcentral.